Molecule: ribosomal RNA, 484 nt
Filed under: uncultured bacterium
Lineage: Bacteria
Description: partial 16S ribosomal RNA
Rfam family: Bacterial small subunit ribosomal RNA
Source: RNAcentral
AUUGAACGCUGGCGGCAUGCUUUACACAUGCAAGUCGAACGGCAGCGCGGGCUUCGGCCUGGCGGCGAGUGGCGAACGGGUGAGUAAUGCAUCGGAACGUGCCCAGUAGUGGGGGAUAGCCCGGCGAAAGCCGGAUUAAUACCGCAUACGACCUGAGGGUGAAAGCGGGGGACCGAAAGGCCUCGCGCUAUUGGAGCGGCCGAUGUCGGAUUAGCUAGUUGGUGGGGUAAAGGCUUACCAAGGCGACGAUCCGUAGCUGGUCUGAGAGGACGACCAGCCACACUGGGACUGAGACACGGCCAAGACUCCUACGGGAGGCAGCAGUGGGGAAUUUUGGACAAUGGGGGCAACCCUGAUCCAGCCAUGCCGCGUGCGGGAAGAAGGCCUUCGGGUUGUAAACCGCUUUUGUUCGGGAAGAAAUCCUUUGGGCUAAUACCCCGGGGGGAUGACGGUACCGGAAGAAUAAGCACCGGCUAACUACGUG